This 207-nucleotide ribosomal RNA is filed under the name uncultured bacterium. RNAcentral's name for it is "partial 16S ribosomal RNA". It matches the Rfam family "Bacterial small subunit ribosomal RNA", at positions 568 to 774 of the family's 1533-position model. The record is from RNAcentral.
UGCGCAGGCGGUUGAGUAAGACAGAUGUGAAAUCCCCGAGCUUAACUCGGGAAUGGCAUAUGUGACUGCUCGACUAGAGUGUGUCAGAGGGAGGUGGAAUUCCACGUGUAGCAGUGAAAUGCGUAGAUAUGCGGAAGAACACUGAUGGCGAAGGCAGCCUCCUGGGACAUAACUGACGCUCAGGCACGAAAGCGUGGGGAGCAAAUA